RNAcentral lists this ribosomal RNA (449 nucleotides) under uncultured bacterium. RNAcentral describes it as "bacterial SSU rRNA". It matches the Rfam family "Bacterial small subunit ribosomal RNA", at positions 330 to 795 of the family's 1533-position model. The record is from RNAcentral.
GCCAGACUCCUACGGGAGGCAGCAGUGGGGGAUAUUGCACAAUGGGGGGAACCCUGAUGCAGCGACGCCGCGUGGGUGAAGGAGUGCUUCGGCAUGUAAAGCCCUAUCGGCAGGGAAGAAGCAAGAUGGUACCUGACUAAGAAGCCCCGGCUAACUACGUGCCAGCAGCCGCGGUAAUACGUAGGGGGCAAGCGUUAUCCGGAUUUACUGGGUGUAAAGGGAGCGUAGACGGCAUGGCAAGUCUGAAGUGAAAGCCCGGGGCUCAACCGCGGGACUGCUUUGGAAACUGUUAAGCUGGAGUGCAGGAGAGGUAAGUGGAAUUCCUAGUGUAGCGGUGAAAUGCGUAGAUAUUAGGAGGAACACCAGUGGCGAAGGCGGCUUACUGGACUGUAACUGACGUUGAGGCUCGAAAGCGUGGGGAGCAAACAGGAUUAGAUACCCUAGUAGCA